CCAAUAGCGUAUAUUAAAGUUGUUGCAGUUAAAAAGCUCGUAGUUGAAUUUCGGGAUUGACGUGACGGUCGUGCCUUACGGGGUAUGAACUGUUGCUGUUGAUUUCUCACCUUCUGGAGAAACUUGAUGUCCUUAAUUGGGUGUCUUGUGGAUCCAGGACCUUUACCUUGAAAAAAUUAGAGUGUUUAAAGCAGGCAUUA
Molecule: ribosomal RNA, 200 nt
Filed under: uncultured Glomus
Lineage: Eukaryota; Fungi; Glomeromycota; Glomeromycetes; Glomerales; Glomeraceae
Also listed under: 1 other name
Description: partial small subunit ribosomal RNA
Rfam family: Eukaryotic small subunit ribosomal RNA
Source: RNAcentral